UUUCCGUAGGUGAACCUGCGGAAGGAUCAUUACUGAGUGAGGGCCCCUCGGGGUCCAACCUCCCACCCGUGUUUAACGAACCUUGUUGCUUCGGCGGGCCCGCCUCACGGCCGCCGGGGGGCAUCUGCCCCCGGGCCCGCGCCCGCCGAAGCCACCUGUGAACGCUGUCUGAAGUAUGCAGUCUGAGACAAUUAUUAAAUUAAUUACAACUUUCAACAACGGAUCUCUUGGCUCUC
Molecule: unclassified non-coding RNA, 236 nt
Filed under: plant metagenome
Description: partial contains small subunit ribosomal RNA, internal transcribed spacer 1, and 5.8S ribosomal RNA
Source: RNAcentral